CGGGUGAGUAAUGCGUGACCAACCUGCCCCAUGCUCCAGAAUAGCUCUUGGAAACGGGUGGUAAUGCUGGAUGCUCCAACUUGACGCAUGUCUUGUUGGGAAAGUGUUUAGUGGCAUGGGAUGGGGUCGCGUCCUAUCAGCUUGUAGGCGGGGGUAAUGGCCCACCUAGGCUUCGACGGGUAGCCGGCCUGAGAGGGCGGACGGCCACAUUGGGACUGAGAUACGGCCCAGACUCCUACGGGAGGCAGCAGCA
This 253-nucleotide ribosomal RNA is filed under the name uncultured Gardnerella sp. RNAcentral's name for it is "partial 16S ribosomal RNA". It matches the Rfam family "Bacterial small subunit ribosomal RNA", at positions 103 to 355 of the family's 1533-position model. Lineage: Bacteria; Bacillati; Actinomycetota; Actinomycetes; Bifidobacteriales; Bifidobacteriaceae. The record is from RNAcentral.